GAUUAGUGGCGAACGGGUGAGUAACACGUGAGUAACCUGCCCCUUGCUUUCUGGAUAACUGCUCGAAAGGGUAGCUAAUACGGGAUAUUCUGACUGGUCCGCAUGGGUUGGUUUGGAAAGGUUGUUUUUUCUGGUGAGGGAUGGGCUCGCGGCCUAUCAGCUUGUUGGUGGGGUGAUGGCCUACCAAGGCUUUGACGGGUAGCCGGCCUGAGAGGGUGGACGGUCACACUGGGACUGAGAUACGGCCCAGACUCCUACGGGAGGCAGCAGUGGGGAAUAUUGCACAAUGGGCGCAAGCCUGAUGCAGCGACGCCGCGUGAGGGAUGAAGGCCUUCGGGUUGUAAACCUCUUUCGUCAGGGAACAAGGCAUUGCCUUUUUGGUGGUGUUGAGGGUACCUGGAUAAGAAGCGCCGGCUAACUACGUGCCAGCAGCCGCGGUAAUACGUAGGGCGCAAGCGUUGUCCGGAAUUAUUGGGCGUAAAGAGCUCGUAGGCGGCUGGUCGCGUCUGUCGUGAAAACUUCCGGCUCAACCGGGGGCUUGCGGUGGGUACGGGCCGGCUAGAGUGCGGUAGGGGUAACUGGAACUCCUGGUGUAGCGGUGGAAUGCGCAGAUAUCAGGAAGAACACCGAUGGCGAA
RNAcentral lists this ribosomal RNA (637 nucleotides) under uncultured Actinomycetes bacterium. RNAcentral's name for it is "bacterial SSU rRNA". It matches the Rfam family "Bacterial small subunit ribosomal RNA", at positions 90 to 719 of the family's 1533-position model. Lineage: Bacteria; Bacillati; Actinomycetota; Actinomycetes. The record is from RNAcentral.